CAGCAGCCGCGGGAAUACGUAGGUGGCAAGCGUUGUCCGGAAUUAUUGGGCGUAAAGCGCGCGCAGGCGGAUCAGUCAGUCUGUCUUAAAAGUUCGGGGCUUAACCCCGUGAUGGGAUGGAAACUGCUGAUCUAGAGUAUCGGAGAGGAAAGUGGAAUUCCUAGUGUAGCGGUGAAAUGCGUAGAUAUUAGGAAGAACACCAGUGGCGAAGGCGACUUUCUGGACGAAAACUGACGCUGAGGCGCGAAAGCCAGGAGAGCGAACGGGAUUAGAUACCCCUGUAGUCCCUGUCUCUUAUACC
This 301-nucleotide ribosomal RNA is filed under the name uncultured bacterium. RNAcentral's name for it is "partial 16S ribosomal RNA". It matches the Rfam family "Bacterial small subunit ribosomal RNA", at positions 509 to 808 of the family's 1533-position model. The record is from RNAcentral.